Molecule: long non-coding RNA, 136 nt
Filed under: Monodelphis domestica (gray short-tailed opossum)
Lineage: Eukaryota; Metazoa; Chordata; Mammalia; Didelphimorphia; Didelphidae
Description: lncRNA (ENSMODG00000043410.1)
Source: RNAcentral
AAAAUAGAGCAAGACACAUACAUGUCCCAUCCCAUCCCCCCCCAAAAAAGAUGAUUGUGUUCUGGGUACUCCAGACCUAUGACCCGUGGAAUGAGGCCAAAUGAAGCAGAUGAAGACCACUCAGGCUGAGACAAUG